UAUUUAUUUUAGAGAGUGUGUGGGAGUGGGGCGGGGGGCAAAGAGAAUCUCAUGCAGACUCCCCACCCACCGAACAUGGAACCCAACAUGGGGCUCAGUCUCAUGACCCUGAGAUCUUGACCUGAGCCACAAUCAAGAGUCAGAUGCUUAACCGAGUCACCGAGGUGCCCCACAACUAUAGCAUUUUUACACUAUAUGUGAACUGGUAUAAUUUACUUGCCAGCUAGGCUCUGAUUAAUUAAACGUGUAUUAUAAACCCUAGGGCAACCACUAAAACCAUUGUUUUCGAAAAACAAGUAACUAUAGUUAAAAAUACUGUAUUAUACAUUUGAAAGAGAGUGGAUCUUAAAAGUUCUCAUCACAGGGAAAAAAUUGUAACUAUAGGGGCACCUGGGUGGCUCAGUCGGCUAAGCGUCUUAGCCCACAUCAUGAUCUUGGGGUCCUGGGAUCGAGCCCCGCAUCAGGCUCUCUGCUCAGUGGGGAGUCUGCUUCUCCCUUUGUGUGCAUACGCGAACGCUCUCUCUCAAAUAAGUAAAAUCUUAAAAAAAAAUUGUAAUUGUGUGGUGAUGAGUGUUAAAUUACUUUGGUAAUUGUUUUGUUAUAUAUGCAUAUAUCAAAUCAUUGUGUUCUGUACCUAAACCUAAUACAGUGUUGUGUCAGUCAUAUCUCAGUAAAAAAGUAUAAUGUGCCAAUAACAGAUAGAAAAUGUAAUCAGAAAAAAUACACUCACUUAAUUCAAAUGAACACCGAAACAGAAGGAAAAAAAACAAGGAGUACAUGGAAUAGAAAUGGUAAGGUGAUAGAUUUUAUUCCAGUCGUUCUUAAUAAUUGUGUUAAAUGUAGAUCAUUUAAACAUACUAAUUAAGACUUUCAUCUGUUUAAACAUCCAAAAUCAUCUAACAUACUUUUCACUGUUAAAUUGUUCAAACAUAAUAAUUGAGACAGAUGUAAAUUGUCUAAACAUAAUAAUUAAGACACAGAUUUUCAGAUUAGAUACAAAAGCAAGACCCUGGUAUAUACUUUCUAUAAGAAACUCACUUUAAAUAUGAAGACAUGGGUUAAAAGUAAUGUAUAGCCACUGUGGAAGGCAGUAUGGAUGUUCAACAGAAAGUUAAAAAUAGAACUAUGCUCGCAUCCAGCAGUCGAACUACUGGGUAUUUACCCAGAGGAUACAAAAACACGAACUCAGAGGGAUACAUGCACCCCUCUGUUUAUAGCAGCAUUAUUUACUUCCAAGAUACGGAAGCAGCCCAAGUGUCCAUUGAUUGAUGAAUGGAUAACGAGGAUGUGGUAUGGCCUGGGGAGCUCUAGCCCAGGGUGGCCCUUGCAGGGCUGGCCUGACCCCAGCUCUGGUUUCUGGGCCAGUGGGUGGCUGCUCACUAUGCUGGGCUAGCACCUGCACUUCCAGGAACCUGAGGUCGGCUGCUGUGGGAAAUACUGCCUUUUUGGCUUCAACAUUGUCUUCUGGGUGCUGGGAGCCCUGUUCCUGGCCAUUGGCCUCUGGGCCUGGGCUGAGAAGGGCAUUCUCUGCAACAUCUCAGCACUGACAGAUCUGGGAGGCCUUGAGCCCGUGUGGCUGUUGGAAGCGGUUGGAGGUGUUGUGUCAGUGCUGGGCUUUGACAGCGGCAUUGGGGCUCUGUGGGAGAACACCUUCCUGCGCAAGCUUUUCUCCGUGUUUCUCAGCCUCAUUUUCUUCCUGGAGCUGGCAACAGGGAUCCUGGCCUUCAUAUGCAAGGACUGGAUUCAAGACCAGCUCAGUUUCUUCCAUCAAUAACAAUGUCAGGAAUCUCUUUGCUCAGGAAUAGUGGUUUUGUUGUGGAGCCCGAGGGCCUAAUGGUUGACCCCUCAAUCUGUAUUUCAACUGCACUGACUUGAACCUGAGCCAGGAGCGCUGCGGGGUCCCCUUCUCCUGCUGCGCCAGGGACCCAGCAGAAGAUGUCCUCAAUACCCAGUUGUGGCCACGAUAGCCAGCUCCCACUGGGGCUGGAGCAGCAGGGCUCCAUCCGCACUAAAGGCUGCAUGGGGUCUUUGUGGGCAUCGCCCUUCUCCAGAUCUUUGGUAUUUACCUGGCCCAGAACCUUGUGAGUGCCAUCAAAGCAGUGAAGGCCAGUUGGUGAGGCUGCCACCCUGGUGCACAGGGAGCUACCAUCUCCACUCCUGUUGGGUGGUGGGCUCCCAAGGGGACCGGGAAUGGUACAGCUAAGAGGGCGCAGGCCAGGUGGGGUGGGAGGGGUCUGCCAUAUCCCCACCCAGGCUGGGACACACUUCUCUGUGCAUGACUGUGUGAGGCAGGCCUGGGGCCCGCUGUUGCCUGGGACACAGCUUCAUGAAGCGGCUUCAGAGCUGUCUUCUCUACUAGCUGUGACCUUGACCCUGCCUGGAGCCCACUUGAGCCUCACCGGUGGCCCAAGAAUUUUCUCUCCCUUGCUUGCCUCUCCGGAUCAAACAUGGUGAUGGCUAGAAACUACUCAAACAAAACCUUAACCCUGUUCCUCCCCACCCCCCAAAACAUAUUAUUUAUGUAUGUGUGUUUGUAUCGGGCUCCUUGCUCAGCAGGGACUCUGCUUCUCUCCCUCUUCCUUUCCCUCUCUACCACCCCCCUGCUCAUGCUCUUGCAUGCGUGCUCUCUAAAAUAAAUCUUAAAAAAUUUGUAGAAUUUUUGAUGUAGUGAAAAGAAGGGCCAUAUGCACCCCAAUGUUCAUAGCAGCAAUGUCCGCAAUAGCCAAACUGUGGAAAGAGCCGAGAUGCCCUUCAACAGAUGAAUGGAUAAAGAAGAUGUGGUGAUAUAUACAAUGGAAUAUUACUCAGCCAUCAGAAAGGAUGAAUACUCAACUUUUACAUCAACAUGGAUGGGACUGGAGGAGAUUAUGCUAAGUGAGAUAAGCCAAGCAGAGAAAGUCAAUUAUCAUAUGGUUUCACUUAUUUGUGGAACAUAAGGAAUAACAUGGAGGACAUUAGGAAAAGGGAAAAAUGGGGAGGGGGAAUUGGAGGGAGAGAUGAACCAUGAGAGACUAUGGACUCUGAGAAACAAACAGGGUUUUAGAGGGGAGGGGGGAGGAGGGAUUGGUUAGCCCGGUGAUGGGUAUUAAGGAGGGCACAUACUGCAUGGAGCACUAGGUGUUAAUACAAAAACAAUGGAUCGUGGAUCACCACAUAAAACCAAUGAUGUAUGGUGACUAACAACAUCAUAAAAUUAAAAAAGUAAAUUAAAAAAAUAAAGGACACCACAGGGAUGGAAGAAGCAAAAAAAAAAAAUCUGUAGAAUUUUAGUUUUUUCUAAUUUACAUAAAUGAGAUCACCCCAUAUCUGUUAGCCAAUCCUUAGGUGUUUUAUAUUGCUUUCGUUAGAGGUCUUAGCACCCAAAAGAGAUGAUAGAGGUCAGAUGAUGAUGAUAACUAUAACAGGUAUAGUUUUUUUCUUUGUGGGAGAUACAUACAUUAACUCUAAUGUCUACAGCUCUAUGAGACCGGUGGUAUUAUCCCUGUUUUGCAGAUCAGGAAAUUGAGGCAGAGGGGUUAAGUGACUUGCCCCGUGUUAUGUAGUAAAUGGAGUGCCUGGAUUCACACCCAGGCCAUCUGGUUCCCAGGCUGUACUGUACGAGUCUGCUAAUUUUGCGUUUCACAGGAAAGAUCUGGGCAUAGCCAAAACGUGAAUGAGUUAUUUAGGAAUUUACAUAAAACCUCUUUAAUGAGUUUGCUUAUUUUCUUUCCUUUGCUGGCAUACUUUGUUACACAGUUUUCAUUGUUAGCAUAAGUGGGACAGGGAUCUCUUCAAUUCAGAGGAUCCAAUCUGAAUUUGUAAAUUUUAGCUUGUUUUUCUUUUCUGUUAGGAGAUUUCUAAAUCUGUUCUUACUUUAUUUACUAUAGUUUAGAGCAUGCCUGACUUUCAUGAUACUUGGAGAUCUUCUGCCAAAAUAAAUCCAUCUGCUUUUAAAUUUGAUAUCCCCUAAUCAUUUGCUGUUUUCAGAAAACAGAAAAGCCAAAAACCAAACUGACAGAGAAAGAAAAUAGAGUGUUCAGAUCUUGGUUUCUAGAUAACAUUCUCCAAUAAAUGCAGUCCGGACUCCUUGAUGAAAUGGUUGAUUCCAAGUUUGGGGAAAUAUAAGAUGAGCUUGGAACAUCUUUUGGUACUAGAAAGUAAGUGCUCAACAAAACAAAAAGAAAAAGGAAAGCAAGUAAAAAAGAUACAGGGACAGUCUGAAGGGGCUCUGAAUAACCAGAGCCAGCAAGUUUGAAUAACAAUGAUAGUAAUUGAUUCGAAUCCGUAAAAUAAGUAUCCAUGAGUCCAUACUACAUCAAAUAACAACUGAAUAAAUGGAGAAAGAAUAGUCCUUCCUUACAGUAGAAUUCUAAUUUACACAUCUGGAAGGAAUGAUGGAAAUAAUUUGCCAAUAGACCCACAAGUAAUAAUUAUAGGCAGGAGCUAUCAGUGGAUGCUAAAGUUAGCAAAAAGUGUGAUGAGAAGUGGAGUAUUUGCUUAGUCUCAGUAGAUUUCCCCAUAAGGUCCUCAUUAAUUACAAAGGGAAAAAUAAUAGCUUCAUGGUGGAGAAAUCUGACAGAUAGCAGCUUCACCAGCGAUCAGUUUAUCAGCCUCAGUAAUAAGACAUUGACAUCAUGUACCCUUUGCACUGAGAAGGGCACGUCAUUUCUGUGAUAUUCUUGCCAAAAAUGUAUAACUUCAAUAUAAUCAUGAGGAAAUACUAGACAACCCCAAAGUGAAGGCCAUUCUGUAAAAUAACUGAGCCAAACUCUUCAAGAGUCUUUAUGACCUCUUGGUCCCCCAUCUCCAGGUUUUUUGGUUUCAAAAGUCUCUCUUGUUAAUGAACUGUUAUAGCUUCUUACCCCAUAUAAAACUUUGAUUCCCUAUCUCCUUUCAUGUUUCUUUUUACUGAUAGGGAGAGGAAAUGGAGUAUCCUGAGCUCAGGGGUUGAACAGGAAUUUUUAACUGUUUCAUUGGAGAGAACUGCUUUUUGGACUAAAAGGAGAAUGUCAGCUUCAGGGAGUUUUCAGGGACACAGCCCUUCAUUACCAGACUCAGAAUAGAACACUACUGUUCCCAGCCCCUUCUGCUACUCACGGUCCAGCAUUUGAGUGUUCUUGUCUUACUUCCUUUGAUUUUAUAAUGAAAUCUUAGGUGUGCAAUUUUAGACCAGAGGAGAUAAUAGCGAGGCCUGGAUUUUUAUCACAAAUGCUAUAGCUUGUAAACAUCUGUUGUAAAAUCACUACUAUCUUGU
Molecule: RNA transcript, 5233 nt
Organism: Mirounga angustirostris (Northern elephant seal)
Lineage: Eukaryota; Metazoa; Chordata; Mammalia; Carnivora; Phocidae
Gene name: tetraspanin-17-like
Exons: 1
Source: RefSeq, a predicted model, not a curated record